This is an RNA transcript of Dipodomys spectabilis (banner-tailed kangaroo rat), 3291 nucleotides long. It is a transcript of the gene named integrator complex subunit 7, with no coding region annotated. The transcript has 21 exons. The record is from RefSeq and is a predicted model, not a curated record. Lineage: Eukaryota; Metazoa; Chordata; Mammalia; Rodentia; Heteromyidae.
AAGCUCCCUGAGCGCCUGCGCGGGGGGCCCGCGGAGGCGCCUGCGAGCGGCGGGGACACCAUGACGCAUGCGUAAUACAGCUUGACAAAGCGCGGAGGAAAAAUCCGCGAGACGGCGCCUGGAGAAGAUGGCGGUGUGGAGGGAGAGUUUGCAAUCUUUCUGACUAGGCUAGUGGAGGAACUAUUCGGGUCAUGGCGUCGAACUCAACUAAGUCUUUCCUGGCAGAUGCCGGGUAUGGUGAACAGGAACUGGAUGCCAACUCUGCUCUCAUGGAAUUGGACAAAGGUCUAAGAUCUGGCAAACUUGGUGAACAGUGUGAAGCAGUGGUUCGCUUUCCCAGGCUUUUCCAGAAGUAUCCAUUCCCUAUUCUCAUCAAUUCUGCAUUCCUAAAGUUAGCUGAUGUUUUCAGAGUUGGAAACAAUUUCCUAAGACUGUGUGUGCUUAAAGUUACCCAACAAAGUGAGAAGCAUUUGGAGAAGAUUUUAAAUGUGGAUGAAUUUGUGAAGAGGAUUUUUUCUGUGAUUCACAGUAAUGAUCCUGUGGCAAGAGCUAUCACACUCCGGAUGUUGGGAAGUCUGGCAUCUAUAAUUCCUGAGAGGAAGAAUGCUCAUCAUAGUAUUCGUCAAAGUUUGGAUUCACACGAUAAUGUGGAAGUGGAAGCUGCUGUGUUUGCUGCUGCGAACUUCUCUGCACAGUCCAAGGAUUUUGCUGUUGGAAUCUGUAACAAAAUCAGUGAAAUGAUUCAAGGUUUAGCUACACCAGUAGACUUGAAGCUGAAGUUGAUCCCCAUCCUACAGCACAUGCACCAUGAUGCUAUCUUGGCUUCCAGUGCGCGUCAGCUUUUACAACAACUAGUCACUUCCUAUCCUUCCACCAAAAUGGUGAUUGUUUCUUUGCACACUUUCACUCUGCUUGCAGCUUCAUCUUUGGUUGAUACACCUAAGCAGAUUCAGCUUUUGCUGCAAUAUUUGAAAAAUGAUCCCAGGAAAGCAGUAAAGAGACUUGCUAUUCAAGAUUUGAAAUUACUUGCCAAUAAAACACCACAUACUUGGAGCAAGGACAAUAUUCAGGCCCUCUGUGAAUGUGCUCUCCAAACUCCUUAUGACAGCUUAAAACUAGGGAUGCUGUCUGUCCUUUCCACACUAUCAGGGACCAUUGCCAUCAAGCAUUACUUCAGCACAGCUCCAGGAAAUGUAGGUUCUUCCCCCAGAUCCUCUGAUUUAGUCAAAUUAGCCCAAGAGUGCUGUUACCAUAAUAACAGAGGCAUUGCAGUACAUGGAGUUAGAGUCCUAACUAACAUAACCGUCUCUUGUCAAGAAAAAGAUCUUUUGGCACUGGAGCAAGAUGCUGUCUUUGGCCUAGAAUCUCUUCUGGUACUUUGUAGUCAAGAUGAUAGCCCAGGUGCUCAAGCCACUUUAAAGAUUGCUUUUAAUUGUAUGGUGAACUUGGCCAAGGGCCGGCCCCAUCUUAGCCAGUCAGUUGUGGAAACUUUGCUGACUCAGUUACACAGUGCUCAGGAUGCCCAUCGGAUCCUGAUGUGCCAUUGCCUGGCAGCCAUUGCCAUGCAGCUGCCAGUGUUGGGUGAUGGAAUGCUUGGUGACCUCAUGGAACUCUACAAGGUCAUUGGGCGAUCAGCCACAGACAAACAACAGGAACUUCUGGUGAGUUUGGCCACUGUGAUUUUUGUAGCUAGCCAGAAAGCAUUAUCUGCUGAAGUAAAGGCAGUAAUUAAGCAGCAGCUUGAAAGUGUCUCCAAUGGAUGGACUGUGUACCGAAUUGCCAGACAGGCUUCCAGAAUGGGCAAUCAUGACAUGGCCCGAGAGCUUUAUCAGAGUCUGCUGACUCAGGUGGCCUCAGAACACUUCUACUUCUGGCUGAAUAGUUUGAAGGAGUUCUCACAUGCAGAGCAGUGUCUCGCUGGGUUGCAGGAAGAGAAUUACAGUUCAGCACUUUCUUGCAUUGCUGACUCUUUAAAAUUCUACCAUAAAGGGAUUGCUUCCUUAACCGCUGCCAGUACACCACUGAAUCCUUUAAGUUUUCAGUGCGAAUUUGUAAAACUCAGGAUUGAUCUUCUCCAAGCCUUCUCUCAACUUAUCUGUACUUGUAAUAGUCUCAAGACAAGCCCUCCACCUGCAAUUGCCACAACAAUUGCCAUGACCUUAGGAAAUGACCUUCAGAGAUGUGGUCGAAUCUCCAAUCAGAUGAAGCAAUCCAUGGAAGAAUUCCGAAGCCUUGCUUCAAGAUAUGGGGAUCUUUAUCAGGCAUCUUUUGAUGCCGAUUCAGCAACUCUAAGGAAUGUAGAAUUACAGCAGCAGAGCUGUUUGCUGAUAUCUCAUGCAAUAGAAGCCCUAAUUUUGGAUCCAGAAUCAGCAAGUUUCCAGGAAUAUGGAUCUACCGGAGCAGCCCAUGCUGAUAGUGAAUAUGAGAGAAGAAUGAUGUCUGUAUAUAAUCAUGUCUUGGAGGAGGUAGAAUCACUCAAUCGAAAAUAUACUCCCGUUUCUUAUAUGCAUACAGCAUGCCUCUGCAAUGCCAUCAUUGCCUUGCUGAAAGUACCCCUUUCAUUUCAGAGAUAUUUUUUCCAGAAACUGCAGUCUACCAGCAUCAAGCUUGCACUGUCUCCAUCCCCUCGGAAUCCUGCAGAACCCAUUGCCGUACAGAAUAACCAGCAGCUGGCGUUAAAGGUAGAGGGAGUGGUUCAGCACGGGUCUAAACCAGGACUCUUCCGCAAAAUUCAGUCCGUCUGCCUGAAUGUUUCUUCUACACUACAGAGUAAAUCAGGACAAGACUACAAGAUACCCAUUGACAAUAUGACCAAUGAGAUGGAGCAGAAAGUUGAGCCUCAUAAUGAUUACUUCAGUACCCAGUUCCUGUUGAACUUUGCUAUCCUUGGAACACAUAACAUCACAGUGGAAUCCUCAGUGAAAGACGCCAAUGGCAUUGUAUGGAAGACUGGCCCCAGAACUACCAUAUUUGUCAAAUCUCUGGAAGAUCCUUACUCCCAACAGAUUCGCCUACAACAGCAGCAAGCCCAGCAACCCUUACAGCAGCAGCAGCGCAAUGCCUACACGCGGUUUUAACCAUGCCAUGCACACACUGCAGACUUCCAAGGGAUUGAUCAAACUGACUGAAAAGCAAGUGCAGAUGCCAUGUAAUAGGGAGAGCAGCUCCCAUCCUGCUGUGAGCUGCGUAUAACCAGGCUUGAUCUGAAGAUGGGAGAAUCCACGGAAGACCCCUCAAAGUUGUGUAGUCUCCUGAUGGAGCCAGCCCUCUCCUGUCAGAGAACAUAGAGAA